Molecule: non-coding RNA, 229 nt
Organism: Pelobates cultripes (western spadefoot toad)
Lineage: Eukaryota; Metazoa; Chordata; Amphibia; Anura; Pelobatidae
Source: the annotation of a GenBank genome assembly
UGGCAUGAGCACUUCCCUCUUUCUACUGCUAAUACCUCUCCCUAUACAACCAAGCAUUCUGCUAGCAUUUCCUGCUGCUCUAUCAUAUUGCCUUCCUAUUAUCUACUAUCUUACCAGCAAACAUACAUCCGAGAUGGCAGAGUACUUGGAGUAAACUAGGUGACUGUAGAUUGGCCCUACUUGUGAGACACUUUGCAGGGGCACCCAGGAAUUAAGCCCAAUCUUCUUU